RNAcentral lists this ribosomal RNA (600 nucleotides) under uncultured bacterium. Its description in RNAcentral is "bacterial SSU rRNA". It matches the Rfam family "Bacterial small subunit ribosomal RNA", at positions 793 to 1393 of the family's 1533-position model. The record is from RNAcentral.
AGUCACGCCGUAAACGAUGUCUACUAGCCGUUGGGAGGCAUGACCUCUUAGUGGCGCAGCUAACGCGAUAAGUAGACCGCCUGGGGAGUACGGUCGCAAGAUUAAAACUCAAAUGAAUUGACGGGGGCCCGCACAAGCGGUGGAGCAUGUGGUUUAAUUCGAUGCAACGCGAAAAACCUUACCAGGCCUUGACAUCCAGAGAACUUUCUAGAGAUAGAUUGGUGCCUUCGGGAACUCUGUGACAGGUGUUGCAUGGCUGUCGUCAGCUCGUGUCGUGAGAUGUUGGGUUAAGUCCCGUAACGAGCGCAACCCUUAUCCUUAUUUGCCAGCACUUCGGGUGGGAACUCUAAGGAGACUGCCGGUGACAAACCGGAGGAAGGAGAGGAUGAUGUCAAGUCAUCAUGGCCCUUACGGCCUGGGCUACACACGUGCUACAAUGGGCAGUACAGAGGGCCGCAAACCCGCGAGGGGGAGCAAAUCCCAAAAAACUGUUCGUAGUCCGGAUCGGAGUCUGCAACUCGACUCCGUGAAGUCGGAAUCGCUAGUAAUCGCGAAUCAGCAUGUCGCGGUGAAUACGUUCCCGGGCCUUGUACACACCGC